This 484-nucleotide ribosomal RNA is filed under the name uncultured bacterium. Its description in RNAcentral is "partial 16S ribosomal RNA". It matches the Rfam family "Bacterial small subunit ribosomal RNA", at positions 30 to 507 of the family's 1533-position model. The record is from RNAcentral.
AUUGAACGCUGGCGGCAGGCCUAACACAUGCAAGUCGAGCGGAUGAAGGGAGCUUGCUCCUGGAUUCAGCGGCGGACGGGUGAGUAAUGCCUAGGAAUCUGCCUGGUAGUGGGGGAUAACGUCCGGAAACGGGCGCUAAUAUAGCAUACGUCCUGAGUGAGAGAGUGGGGGAUCUUCGGACCUCACGCUAUCAGAUGAGCCUAGGUGGCAUUAGCUAGUUGGUGGGGUAAAGGCCUACCAAGGCGACGAUCCGUAACUGGUCUGAGAGGAUGAUCAGUCACACUGGAACGGAGACACGGUCCAGACUCCUACGGGAGGCAGCAGUGGGGAAUAUUGGACAAUGGGCGAAAGCUUGAUCCAGCCAUGCCGCGUGUGUGAGAAAGGUCUUCGGAUUUAAAAGCACUUUGAGUUGGGAGGAAGGGCAGUAAGUUAAUACCUUGCUGUUUUGACGUUACCAUCAGAAUAGGCACCGGCUAACUUCGUG